GACGAACGCUGGCGGCGUGCUUAACACAUGCAAGUCGAACGAGAAGAGAUGAGAAGCUUGCUUCUUAUCAAUUCGAGUGGCAAACGGGUGAGUAACGCGUAAGCAACCUGCCCUUCAGAUGGGGACAACAGCUGGAAACGGCUGCUAAUACCGAAUACGUUCUUUUGUCGCAUGGCAGAGAGAAGAAAGGGAGGCUCUUCGGAGCUUUCGCUGAAGGAGGGGCUUGCGUCUGAUUAGCUAGUUGGAGGGGUAACGGCCCACCAAGGCGACGAUCAGUAGGGGUUCUGAGAGGAAGGUCCCCCACAUUGGAACUGAGACACGGUCCAA
RNAcentral lists this ribosomal RNA (327 nucleotides) under uncultured bacterium. RNAcentral describes it as "bacterial SSU rRNA". It matches the Rfam family "Bacterial small subunit ribosomal RNA", at positions 28 to 334 of the family's 1533-position model. The record is from RNAcentral.